This 777-nucleotide ribosomal RNA is filed under the name uncultured Neocallimastigales. RNAcentral describes it as "partial large subunit ribosomal RNA". It matches the Rfam family "Eukaryotic large subunit ribosomal RNA", at positions 22 to 635 of the family's 3401-position model. Lineage: Eukaryota; Fungi; Neocallimastigomycota; Neocallimastigomycetes; Neocallimastigales. The record is from RNAcentral.
CAUAGCGACUAUCGUGGCAUAUCAAUAAGCGGAGGAAAAGAAACUAACAAGGAUUCCCUUAGUAACGGCGAGUGAAGCGGGAAGAGCUCAAAUUUGAAAUCUUCAAGGUUUUACCUUGACGAAUUGUAGUUUAAAGAAGUGUUUUCUGUUGAAGUUUUGGUAAAAGUUCUUUGGAAUAGGACAUCAUAGAGGGUGAGAAUCCCGUAUUUGACCAUUAUUUUCAGCUGUGUGAUACACUUUCAAAAAGUCGGAUUGUUUGGGAAUGCAGUCCAAAAUGGGUGGUGAAUUUCAUCUAAAGCUAAAUAUUGGCGAGAGACCGAUAGCGAACAAGUACCGUGAGGGAAAGAUGAAAAGAACUUUGAAAAGAGAGUUAAGCAGUGCGUGAAAUUGUCAAAAGGGAAGCGUUUGACACCAGUGUUGUUUAGUUGAAAAUCAAUUCAAUAAUUUUUGAUUUUAAGUAGUAUUGACUUCAUCAGCUUGCUGCUUUCUUUUCAGGAAAUUAUUGAAUGCACUUUUCAGUUAACAAGUCAACAUCAAUUUCUUUUGUUGUAAAAGGGUAAGAGGAAGGUGGCUUACGCUUCGGCGUAAGUGUUUAUAGCCUUUUACCUCUGCAAUCGGAGAGAUUGAGGACAGCAGCGUAGACUCCUUCAGGGGUUAGAUACACUUGUGCUAAGCUAUAGCCUUGUAUAGACAACUUGUUGACUAUGCUCAGUCAUGUAGCUUACUCGCUGAUGCUAUUUUACCUACGCUUAGGAUGUUGAUAUGCAUGACUGAUAU